GCUCGGCGCGGAGGGACUAUGGCUGAGGUGGGCCGGGCGGCGGUGCGCGACCCUGGGGAGCUGCUCCCGGGGGGCUUCUGGGAGGCGGUGGCCGUGUGGCUGGAGAAGCCGCAGGUGGCCAACAAGCGGCUGUGUGGCGUCCGCCUGGAGGCCCGGCGGAGGGCCGCCCUGCCCCGGGUGUCGCCCCGCGGCCGCAGGCCCAACGCGGGCCCCGAGCCGGAGGAGCCGGGAGCGGCCGGACGGGGUCCGCGCCCCCCCGAGGGGGGCCCGGGUCGCGGGCCCGAGGAGUCCCGGCACCGGCGCCAGCAAGGGGAGGGCCCCGGGGAAGCAGCCGCGGCGCCCCUGCUCGUAGAGGGCCCCGGGCAGCCCGACAAGGCAGGAGCCGGGGAGGGCGAUUUCUCCGCCUGGGAUCUGGAUUCUCUGUGGGACGAUUUCUCCCGAAGCCUCGCCGGCGGCAGCCACGAGUUGCUGGCCUUCCUCACCGGGGCCCGUGCGGGAUCGCAGCCAGAGGCGCCGAGCGAGCUCGACGUGGUUCUCAGAACCGUCAUCCCGAAAACAAGCCCGCUCUGCCCGCUUGCUGCUCCGAGGAGAGAAGUUGUCGUGCAAGAUGUCCUCAACGGAACCGUAACAUUUUUACCUUUGGAAGAAGAUGACAAAGGGAACGCAAAGGUUGAGACAAACAACGUGUAUCAACUCCGGCUCGGUCGGAGCAAAGAAGAAUGGUUCAUAUCUGUUUCAAUUUUCUGUCCAGAAAGAUGGCAUUCAGACGGAACUGUUUAUCCCAAACCCGCCUGGCUGGGGGAAGAGCUGCUGGCCAGGCUGGCCAGGUGGUCUGUGGGGAGCAAGAGAAGUGGGUUUAAAAGCACCCUGUGCCUCGUUUCCAUCAUCGAAUACAGCAAGACUUACCAGGCGCUUAAGGAGAAGCAUAAAGACAUGGUCAAGGUGUGGCCUGAAGUUACUGAUCCUGAAAAGUUUGUGUACGAAGAUGUGGCUAUUGCUGCCUACCUGCUGGUUCUGUGGGAAGAAGAAAGAGCUGAGCUGGGCCUGACAGCCAAGCAGUCCUUUGUUGACCUAGGAUGCGGAAAUGGGCUCCUGGUUCACAUCCUGAGCACCGAGGGGCACCCAGGCAGAGGGAUCGAUGUCCGAAGAAGAAAGAUCUGGGACGUGUAUGGACCGCAGACUUGCUUAGAGGAAGGUGCAAUCACACCCAGCGAUGAGACCCUUUUCCCUGACGUUGACUGGGUAAUUGGUAACCAUUCCGAUGAACUGACACCGUGGAUACCUGUGAUCGCAGCCAGGUCUAAUUACAGCUGCCGUUUCUUUGUCCUUCCCUGCUGCUUCUUUGACUUCGUGGGGAAAUACGCCCGGAGGCAGAGCAGGAAGACUCAGUACCGAGAGUAUCUCGAUUUCGUGACUGAGGUGGGGCUGGCCUGCGGGUUCCACGUCCAGGAGGACUGCCUGCGCAUUCCCUCCACCAAAAGGGUUUGUCUCAUUGGGAAACGCAGAACAUACCCCCCCACCGGAGAAGCCCUCAUGGAUGAGCAGAGAACCCGGUACAUUAAUAGCAGGCAGGGCCGCCCCGUGAGCCCGCCCGGCCGGGAGCCUCCCCAUCCUCCUCCCCGGGCCGCCGUGGCACGUGCGGGUCGCCCCCACGGGCGCCAGGCCCUGGACGCCGGGGCCACCGAGGAGGGGGCGGAGGCCCGGGCCGCCGGACUCUGGCUGUCUGGAUUUCACCCUAGAGAAAAAGCCGAGCGCGUGAGGAAUUGCGCUGCCCUCCCUCGAGACUUUGUUGACCGGGUGGUUUUGCAAGUGGGACACCUGCUGUUGGAUGCAGAGCGGCCGUGCGCAGGAAGUUCUCCGAGCGGGAGCUUGAAGGCCUGGAACCGAGGAGGUCAUCGGAGGAACUGGAGGAGCCCUCCCUCAGCCCGUCAGGGGGGCUGCUGCCUGGCUGGCCCCGUGGGUGGGGGGCCAGGGAGGAGGCGGCGAGCCCGGGCUCCCUCUCCCGUGACGUCCUGCCUGGUGUCUUCACCGUCCCGGCCUCCCUGGCUGUUGUGACCUUGCCACGCGGCAGCGCCCCGGAGCGCCUCCUCUGCUCUGUGGCUCACCCCACCCUGGUGGCGUCUGAUCAGAAGAGUCUCUCGAGGGAUGAGGUGGCCGUCCUGGCCAGAACCCCCCACCCCACUCCCCACUCCAGCUGCUGACCGUCCGUGAGCCGUGCACAAGCCCUGAGGGGCCGUGGGCCGUUGUGUGGGUUGGCACCUCACUUCCCGGUGCGCCCUGCUGAGGCGGGGGCAAGCUGGGCGGGGGGGCGGGUGCUUCUGGCCAGGCCUCGAAGGGCAGGGAGCCACAGCAGGGGGGCAGGGGCCACAGAGACACUCGGGCAAAUUUACCCUAACCCUAACCCUAACCCUGGCCUUCCCACCCCAGGAUAGUCCUGUCCUCUGCUGGGUCCUCUGGGCUUGAUUGAGCUCAGGAGGCGCUGGCCUGUGCCGGGGACGGACCUUUGCCGUGAGCACCCCGGCUCUGUCCCGGGCUCCAGGCUGGACGGCAGGCGGCUCUGGUCGUCGGGCCUCGGCUCACGGGCCUGCCCACCUGUUGGAAACACCGGCAGGGCUGGUGCGCCCCCCGCCGCCCCCCCCCCCCCCCCGCCCCUUGGGUCUCCGUGGUCUGGGGCUGGCCUGAGGUGGUCCCUCCGCCCCUGUGCCUGCCCCGUCUGCCCUGCGGGAGAAGCACGCUCCGCUGAGGUUGGACGUGUGCCCUUGGCCUCUCAGCCCGAGGUGGUCCCCUCGCCUGUCGGUGCUGGAAUUUAGCGACCUCUCCCGCCUCCGCCUGUGUGACGUACGAGUGGGUCAGACCCCUGGACCUGAGUGAUCUCGGUCUGGGGUCUGCCCUCUGCAGGGCAGGAGGGGGUGGUCCCUGCCCUCACGGUUGGGUCAAGGCGUGUGCACGUCUCAGGAUGAGCAACCCGGAGGCAGCGCGGAGCGGUGCGCGUGAGCAUCAGGGUCCGGGAGCGUGUGCAGGGCCGGGGCACAGGAGGGGCAGGAGGGCCGUCCCGGCCGAUUCCUGCUUGCUCUGAGUGGGUCUGAGGCGGCUGAGAGGGGCAUCUUGAAGGUCGGCUGGGCUUUGGUAGGUGGAAUCACAGCCACAGGGCGGCCGCCUCCCCUGGGUGCCCGGGGCUGGGCUGGGCCGAGCCGGAGCGCUGGUUUUCUGUGGGGGAGGCUCCUGCAGAGUCGUUGGGUGGGAGUAGGCGAGCCCCGGGGUGUCGGGCCUGGCGGGUGGGCGGCCCCCGCAUCUCCGGUGGCGAUGGCUCUGCCCGCGGUCCCUCCCGCCGACGUGCGCCAGGGGCUGGAGCGGACGGAACCAGAGCAGGGCCAGCGGUGAGCCGGUUUCACGGCUCCUGACAGCCUUUCUGUUGGUGUCGGGGAAACCCGCUUUUCAACAGGAAGCCUCUCCUUGGCGGACGUAGCCAGUGAGCUGGACGGGGAGACCCUGCGGAGGCUGAAGCGGGAAUGUGGAGGCUUGCAGACGCUGCUCAAAAACAACCAUCAGGUGUUUGAAGUUCGGAGCGGGCGAGUUCACCUUCGCGACUGGA
Molecule: RNA transcript, 3592 nt
Organism: Prionailurus viverrinus (fishing cat)
Lineage: Eukaryota; Metazoa; Chordata; Mammalia; Carnivora; Felidae
Gene: TRMT44
Gene name: tRNA methyltransferase 44 homolog
Exons: 11
Source: RefSeq, a predicted model, not a curated record